RNAcentral lists this ribosomal RNA (270 nucleotides) under uncultured bacterium. RNAcentral's name for it is "partial 16S ribosomal RNA". It matches the Rfam family "Bacterial small subunit ribosomal RNA", at positions 32 to 312 of the family's 1533-position model. The record is from RNAcentral.
AAUCAACGCUGGCGGCGUGCCUAACACAUGCAAGUCGAACGAGAAAGGGGAGCAAUCCCUGAGUAAAGUGGCGACCGGGUGAGUAACACGUGACUAACCUACCUUCGAGUGGGGGAUAACCUCGGGAAACCGGGGCUAAUACCGCAUAAUGCCUUCGGGUUAAAGGAGCAAUUCGCUUGAAGAGGGGGUCGCGGCCGAUUAGGUAGUUGGCGGGGUAACGGCCCACCAAGCCCGUGAUCGGUAGCCGGCCUGAGAGGGCGCACGGCCACA